AGGCCUCUUCACCUGCAGGCGCACAGAAAUGGGCUCUUCUUCCUGAUCUCCCAAUGCGUCACGGGAACCUUGGAGGGACACUGCCUCCCUCUGGCCCUGGGUUUGCUCUUCUGAGGAAGAAGAAUAUCUGGAGCAUAGCCAUGCAUGGGCGCCACAUGGCCGGGGAAGCAGACUAUACUCUACGGCAUUGUUCAUUACGACAAAGGACUGGAGAGAAGUCCAGGGUCUGUGAAGAGGGAACUGCUUAAAUAAAAAUGAACCACCGCUGGAAGAAAGAAAGAGGAUGUACUACAGGCUAUAGCGCUGCCAGGGAAAGCCGAGGACGCUCCUUCUUUGUCACCAGCAAAGACUCAUUCAGUUCAGUGACAGCCCAGCCAGUCCUACCCUGGUGGCUGGACACUCAGAGUCCUCGCUGCUUCCGUGGCUGCUUUUCCCACUCCUUCGAGGGCUAUGGCUCCAGUCGUGGUCAAGCUACUGACCUGGAUGCUCUGUGUCGUCAUUUGCAAACAUACCUACAUCAGGGCGACAGCAAACGUUACAGGUGGGACAGAGGAGGGCCGAGUGAGACCAGCCUGAGGUCCUGCCUUGCCCACACAAGUGGCUACUUCUUCCAUGCUGGGGAGGAUGAGGCUGUGCAAGAGGGGCCGAGGAAAUGAUAAGUGAAAAUCCAUCACAGCUUCUGGACUCAACUCAAAGGACACACGAGGCUGCUGGAACACCAGCAGGACUCAGCCCGACUCGGCGAUGUUGUCAGGAGAAUGAUUCCGUUUCAUGCUGAAGCGGCCUGGCAGGGCAGGUCUUUGGAGGAUAGCUUGCAAAGAGCCUAAGAACCAUCUGAAAGGAUCAAGGAAGGACUGUCCGAGCAGGCUCUCGACACAGCCCCUGCACCAGAGCUCUCCACAGCGGGCCACAGCCGGCUCCCUGGGCAACUGGCCGUCUCGUCUCUGCGUCCAUCUGUGUGUGCCGUCUGGGUCGGCCCUGCCUCUCCUGGAUUGUCCUCGGCCAGGCCAGGGCUUGGCCACCACUAAAGAAGGCAUUUCAUAGUAACACUGCAAAAUCAAGCUGGGAGCAGCCUCAUGGCCACUUGGUUGAGCUUGUCCCAGGCUGGAAGGACUCAAAUCCUGUAACAUGGUGUCAUGGAAGGUGUCCUCUGGAAUCUCAGCUCUGGGCAGUGCUUAGCUAGGCUACAUCCAAAGUAACACCCCAGAGAAUAUGCCCUAAACUCUCAGUUGUCACUCUGAAGACCCCUAUACUAACCCCUCACCCACCCACUGCUUCAACCCACUGUGGUUACUGCCCACUUCUCUGUGCCACGCAGCCUCCUGGGGGUGGGCUGUGGCACACAGGUGCUCCCACAUGCUGAUGUGGCAGCUAGAAUAGGGCAGGUGUGGAGGGAGCCUAGCUGGAAGAGCAUCUGUGCUGACACGAGUGGGUCCUGCCUAGGCCAGCACCGGGGCCUGUCCCCAGGUCCCCACCUGUGUGCGGAGCACCAAUCAACGCUGCUCUGCCCCAGGCCACCUUUGGGCUUGGCUUAAUCAUGGCUGCCCCGGCUCCAUUCUGACCCCCAUGCUUACCCCAAGAGUAGUUCCUGUGUGCUUAGCGAGCACUUCUAGCCUCGAGAAGCCUUGUUUCUGGGAGGAUCCUUUCAGGAGAGUGGAGGGGAACAGGGGAGAGCAGUGGCUGGGGAAGGAGGCAGCAGGCGGCACCCUGGAGUGCAUUUUCCCUGCUGUUUGCUCUGCUGCGGGAAGGCUCAGGAGGAAUAGUAAGUCAAAGCGAGAGCUAGAGGAGUCCUGCGCUGACAGCUGCAGAGACUGAAGGUGGUAUGACUGUGGCAGGCUGCAUCAAGGCCACGCUGCCCUGAGGCCAGACGGGCAUGGAACGGUGCCUGGACUCUGGCCUGGAGUCUGGGAGUGAGGAGGAGGAUGCUGUUGCCGGGAAGAGCACGAGGGGCCUGAGUGGGGACCAGUGAGAGGUUGUGAGCUCCUUUGUCGUUGUGUUUUUUCCAAUAGAAUUCUACAUUUGUAUUUUUUAAAAAUGGAGGCAUCACAUAACAAAGUGUGUAAAGCGUGCUGAUAUGAAGCCAAUCUUUACCGUGUGUCUUUGCACACGGAUAGAGAAGCUUAUCAGCACUCUGUGGCUCCUGCAUUAGCCAGGUGUUUUAUCUUCUGUAUUUGUGAUGCUUUGACGUCUUCUGAGGUUCUGCUGGCUGGGGAGAGACUGCCCCUGCAAGUGUGCCUUUCAUAUGCAAACCAGCGAUCCAGAGCCCACCCCCUCACCGCCUCCUGCGUGGGACUCUCACACAGCAAGCCGGGCGUCCUCCAGCCCUGCAUCACUCCAGGGCUGGGGACCAGACAACUGGAGACCACCUUGUCGCCAGAGCUUUCCGAAAUUAUUGAAAUUAGCCGAUCCUAAACUUGCUCAAACUUGUCUCCCCGCCUCCUCUGUUCCCACCCUUGGAAACAGCAGUAUGGGCCCUGGCCACGUGUCCUUCUGCCUCCUGACUGACGCUGGUGCUUCCCCAUGUGGCCCUGCAUCAGGAAUUCUAAGUAGUAAACUUUUCUCUCAAAGUCUCUGUGCCUGUCACCUUACCAUAUCUGAUCAAAACAAAAUCCCAUUUCAAGAAGGCCUGUCUGUCCCUUGCUGGUCUACACACUCCUCCAUCCCAGGAGGUAGCCGUUGUUGUGAUUUCUAUCAUAACAGAGUGUCGCCUUGUUCUUUAAAU
This 2722-nucleotide long non-coding RNA is filed under the name Equus caballus (horse). Its description in RNAcentral is "lncRNA (ENSECAG00000034973.3)". Lineage: Eukaryota; Metazoa; Chordata; Mammalia; Perissodactyla; Equidae. The record is from RNAcentral.